GUCUAUGGCCAUACCACCCUGAAUGCGCCCAAUCUCAUCUGAUCUCGGAAGCUAAGCAGGGUUGGGCCUGGUUAGUACUUGGAUGGGAGACUUUGUGAAUCACUUUUAGUAUGGACU
This 117-nucleotide ribosomal RNA is filed under the name Suricata suricatta (meerkat). Lineage: Eukaryota; Metazoa; Chordata; Mammalia; Carnivora; Herpestidae. The record is from RNAcentral.